RNAcentral lists this ribosomal RNA (492 nucleotides) under uncultured bacterium. RNAcentral's name for it is "partial 16S ribosomal RNA". It matches the Rfam family "Bacterial small subunit ribosomal RNA", at positions 29 to 507 of the family's 1533-position model. The record is from RNAcentral.
AGUGAACGCUGGCGGUAGGCCUAACACAUGCAAGUCGAACGGCAGCACAGUAAGAGCUUGCUCUUACGGGUGGCGAGUGGCGGACGGGUGAGGAAUACAUCGGAAUCUACUUUUUCGUGGGGGAUAACGUAGGGAAACUUACGCUAAUACCGCAUACGACCUACGGGUGAAAGCAGGGGAUCUUCGGACCUUGCGCGAUUGGAUGAGCCGAUGUCGGAUUAGCUAGUUGGCGGGGUAAAGGCCCACCAAGGCGACGAUCCGUAGCUGGUCUGAGAGGAUGAUCAGCCACGCUGGAACUGAGACACGGUCCAGACUCCUACGGGAGGCAGCAGUGGGGAAUAUUGGACAAUGGGCGCAAGCCUGAUCCAGCCAUACCGCGUGGGUGAAGAAGGCCUUCGGGUUGUAAAGCCCUUUUGUUGGGAAAGAAAAGCAGCAGGUUAAUACCCCGCUGUUCUUACGGUACCCAAAGAAUAAGCACCGGCUAACUUCGUG